AUAGAGGGGGUGUUAGCCCCUCCUUACUGCUGUCAUUGAAGAAGAAAAAAGAGGAAAAUAAAAAAGAGCAGGAGGAAGAAAGGAAACCACAGCCAUACAGGCAGUUCUACAGGCAGUGCUACUCAGCUGAACUGUAUCUGCUGCCUGUUUAACAGUGGGGAGAAGACAUUAUUAGGCGGCGUGCUCCUCCCUCUCCACAGCAAGGCAGCCUUAUCUGUCAGCCAUUAGUUAAUCAAGGCUGGUAACGUAGAAGUAGAGCAGAAAACAGGCACAGCGCGUGGGGUCAAAGAACAACCUCUGAGAGCUGAGCUGAGCAGGAGGAGGGCAAGGACCUGGGAACCGACCAACCCCUACACUCUAAACUCUACUACCAGGCUAGGCUGCUGCCUCACUCUACUCAACACUGGAUCAGAGCGUGUCUUUGUCUAGGCAUGGCAGGCUGCAAUUGUAUGAUGACAUCCGCCCAUUCCAUCACAGAGGACAGGUCCUGUUUUGCAAGGAAGUUUCAAAGACAGAAGUCAAAACAACACAUGCUGUCGACGUGGGAAAAGCUGGUAAGAGCAGAACAUCGUGGGGCGGAGGAAUGUCAGAGUCAUAGAUCGUUCAUCCUCAAGGCCAAAAUAGCCACACAGGCCUGAUCAUCUCCAUGCAUAGGAAGAAACAUUACGCAACACCUCAUACUAGCACUAAUACAGUCCAGUCUAACCCUGGCCAACGUGGUCCAAAUCUGGCAAAAGAGAUAUCAUUAGACAAUUACUACACGAGUAAGUAGGCUUUAUUGACUGAAAUGAAUUGGUAUUAACUCGCAAAUAGAAUUUCUUCACAAAAGAUUUGGCACAAACCAAUGUCAUAAGUACAUUUAGAUACCGAAGGUAAAAAAUAGGGACAUUUCUUAUUGGCGUCACCAUGGAGUUUAUUGUAAGGGUUAUGAUGAUUGAAAAGGAUAUUGCAAAGUCUAAAUAAUUAUUGGUCUGUGUUAACAAAGUUGACAAAAUGUUCACUACAAGAGCUUAAGGCUGCUUGUGAUGGAAAAUGAAAGGAGUCGACUAAACUCAACUUUGUAGUUGGUGCCAAACUGUGCCUCUGCCAUGGCUAGAAACUCAAAUAAACAAUCCUAAAAGGGCAUAUUAAGUUUCCCCAACACUAUUCUCUUUU
Molecule: long non-coding RNA, 1155 nt
Organism: Oncorhynchus gorbuscha (pink salmon)
Lineage: Eukaryota; Metazoa; Chordata; Actinopteri; Salmoniformes; Salmonidae
Exons: 3
Source: RefSeq, a predicted model, not a curated record